Non-coding RNA from Lactuca sativa (garden lettuce), 2018 nucleotides. The record is from RefSeq and is a predicted model, not a curated record. Lineage: Eukaryota; Viridiplantae; Streptophyta; Magnoliopsida; Asterales; Asteraceae.
UGCUUGGAUACCUUUAUUCCUCUUUCGUCUUCCCCUUUUUGCGAGAAUCUCAAUAAACCCCAUCGAUCAACAAACCCCUUCCAGGAUUGCUUCCAAAAUUGAACGACGAUUUCUCAUCGCUUGGUACAACCGACCAACUACAGGGAACAUCAACGGUCUAGGCUAUGUACAUACGUUUCUUUAUGUGUGUGUGCUGAAUCGAUGACGAUAGUAUAAGGAAUUAGGAUGUCGAAGGUGUAGAGUCGGAUAAUAACCCAACGCCGGUCACUUACAUAUUUGGACCGAUCGGAUACCACUGAUCGAAAUUGUGUCUGUAAGGACUUCUAGCCCUAAAAAUCACCAUUAACGCCUUUAGAGGGAAACAUCGACACCUCAACCGCUUCUCAACGUCCCUCUCACCGACUCUGUUUUUUUUUUCGUUCCUUUCCCUUCACCGCUUCCUUACCAUUAUGAACACCCGCUCUGUUGCUUCUCCACCGAUGUCUGCUCAGAUAUGCGUCUCCACCGAUCUUCCAACAGUUGUUUUCGAUUGUUUUUGAAGCUUUCCUGAUGACGGAUGUGCCACCGACUACUUCCACUUUCCCCUUCUCGCGACAAUCCGAUGGAGAAGAAAGCCAUGAGUCUUGCAAGAAAGGCGGUGGACCGACAAAUUUUUUUCCCCAGUGGCGACCGUCCCCAUCUCCAUCUCCGUCCGUCUCCACCGCAAUCCCAGGUAAACACUAAACUAGGGUUAGUUCGAUGCCCAAGACGCCAGAAAGUUCUUUUGGAUCCACCAGAAGUUUUGGUCUAUGAAUGUGGAGGCUGUAAUUCAAUUCUUGUAGUGAAGGAGAAAAAUGAUACAUUUGAUUAGGGGUGAGCAGAAACCGCACCGCAACUAAAAUUAACCGCAAAAACCGCAACUGAAAAACCGCAACCGCAAUAAAAACCGAUGGUGAGGUUUACUGUUUUUCAAAAACCGCAAAUUUGCGGUGCGGUGCGGUUAUUAAUUUUCAAAAACCGCAAAAAAAAUGCACCGCACCGCAUAUAUUAUAUACAAUUUUUAAUUAAUUAUUAAUAUAUUAAAUAUUAAAAAUAAGACAAGUUUCAUGAAUAAAAGAUGGAUAAAAUACUAGAAGACAAAAGUGCUGGUUUUUUCUUAUGUUUAACUUAGAAAAAUGAUGAAAUUAGACAAUUUUAAGAUAUUUAUUGUUAAUUAGUAUUUAUUUGACGUUUUUAAGAUAUUAGUUAUUUGUGAUUUAAGUUAUUUGUCUUAUACUUUAUGGUUUUUUUAUUAUUAUUACAAUUAAUAUGUUUGAACUUUUAAAACCGUUUAAGCUCUAAACUGUGGUUAAAAACCAUACAAAAUAACCGCAACACAAAAAAACAAAACCGCACAGCAAAAAUAACCGCCUAACCGCACCGCAAAAAUAACCACACCAUGCGGUUUUGAAAAUGGAUUAACCGCAUUUGCGGUUAGUGGUGAGGUUUUGGCUAAUAACCGCACCGAACCGCACCGCGCUCACCCCUACACUUGAUACAGAGAUAUUAGAAGCUCAGGUUGCUCAGGGGACAACGAUGUAUACUCAAAGUAUACCUCCAUCUAACCCUGAAAGUACUUCAGAUCGUACGCUAAUAACUCGCCCAAAGCCAAACAACUUCAAAAUCCCCCUUCAGGCCACAAAAGAUUGUACUCAACACUUCAACCAAAGAAACUUCAUCGGGAAAGGUCUACAAGGGAGUCCUCUUCUAGGUGGAUCAUGUAAACCACCUGGUCACCGGGUUUCAAGGUAACAAGGAGUUCCACACUGAGCUCACAAUGCUUUCACGAUUAGAUGUCCUUGUGACGCCUAAAAUCGAUUUCUUCAUGCGAAAUCGAUUUUUAUUUGGUAUGCAUAGAACCUGUUUGAUAAAAUUCCUCAACUAAAAGAGUUUCAAAAACUUUAAUUUUUAGGAAAUUUUUAAUUAUUUGUUUGUUUUAUUAUUUGUUCAAACAACUUUCCAGAGCCAUAUAUAGUUGUUUGCAGAACCAAGCUCUAACA